RNAcentral lists this unclassified non-coding RNA (256 nucleotides) under Hevea brasiliensis (rubber tree). The record is from RNAcentral. Lineage: Eukaryota; Viridiplantae; Streptophyta; Magnoliopsida; Malpighiales; Euphorbiaceae.
CGGGAAGAAAUGGAGGCGUACCCAAUGCCAUCCUGGAGUUUUCAUUGUAAAGGUAUAAGUGGCUUCCUGAACAAAAAUCCUGGCAGAUAGAUAUAUAGGGGAAGGAACAUCUGCAGAAGGGACAGAAACUAAGAUAUUCUCUUCAGUCUGUAAGUAACUUUCAGCUUCAUGGUCAGUCUUAAAGACCCUUCCAUCAGGAAUGGCUGGCAGGCUCUUAGAGCCACAACUGAUAAGAAUCUGAUCAGCAGGAGCAAAG